CACCAGGGCCGGGGUUGGACUCCUUGCCCUGGCUCCACGUAUUUUAACAUCCCCUCGGGUGUGUGCCCACCCACCCACCCACCCAGUGAAAGUCCCACAGAGGCGCAACAGGUCACAUCUACGUGGCCUUCCCUUGACUGUGUCGCCACUGCCUGACUGGGUGGCAGGCACUGCUGUGCCUGCAAGGAUGUGGGGCCGUACCUUGGAAGCACCCGGCUACUCCCCAUGACACCCCGGACAGGAAGCGUCGGCCAUGCUAGGGCCCACUCUUGCAUUUGCUGGAUGCCAAAACCCACCUCCCCCCUCCACCCCUCACCCUGCUAUUCCCCCAAAGCGCCAAAGCUAGGUCCCCAGGGAUUCCACACCUCCACAUCUCAUGGGGGGGGGGAGGGGGGCAGGCACAUCCAGUGAAGGUGGUUGAGGUUUUAUCUUUGGUGCCUGUCUGCUGGUCUCUGCCUGUAGAUGGUGACAUUAGAGGCUGGGGUCUCUCUGUGGCUUCCCGAAGGUCAACUGUUGGACUUCAAAGGCAGGGCCUCCUGAACCCGUGGAGGCAGUGGGACAGUAGCACUGAGACCGGGCUGGGGAGCGAACCAAGAGGAAGGGGGGGGGGGGGCCGGGGGAAACGCAGUCUCCAGUUUGGGAGGCAGAACUAAAACCGAAAAGGCGCUUGUGGUCUCAGAGGUCAGGGAUGGCAGUAGCCGGGUCCCUGAGGCCUCAGAGAGCCACACUCCCGGUGCGGUUCCGCUGCCAGCCCCCUCUGUGAUGUGCUCCAACUGUACUUUGAGUCUCUGGAGUUUCCUUCCCACAGGAGGGAAGAGAAACAAGGACCUUUCCCUGGCGUUCUUCUCUGCACCCACCCGCAGCCCCAACAACCUGGCUGUGUCCCCAGGAUGAAGCCCGUUUUCUCCUGGAUGGGUGCUCUCUGACAGGCCCUCAGUGUCUCCCUCUUCAGGCCCUGCCAAUUUCGCCUUAAGGGCCCAGCGCUAAGUCAGCCAGCUGGUCAGAACCCACAGGCCAGCUGCCUGUGUAAGUAAGGACGUGAAUUUGUGCGCCCGACCGACUGUGACGACAGCUGCCCCCGUCUCACUCCACCCCUACUCCCACUCUUCUGCGCCCCGACUCUGACUCUUAAGUCUGCGUUUUGCCGCCACACUCCGCCCCACCCCCCGCUCGCCCCCGCCCCUUUCUGCAUACAGGUGGAGACCCCAGCGGUCCGGUCGGUCCGUGGCCAGAAAGCGGGUAAGAUAGAAAUAUUUCAUCCAUCUCCCUCUCCCUCCGUCCGAUGUAGCGGGAGAAUCGGUACGGGUGGAUUUACCACCGGUGCACAGAGCGUGAGUAAUCACUGCUCUCUCAGCGGGAGCGCCCCCAGCCCCGCCAUCCGUGGCUACAAGAACAGGUGCGAAGGCACGGGAAAACGGAAGUGUACCCGGACCACGGCCCUGUCCUCGGACUGACAAGAAACCUGAAGGGGCCGCUGAAGUUCUCGUCGCGACUGGCAAGGCCCAUGAGAGGGGCCCUGCUGCAUUUCGUUUCUGCCAGUGUCAGCUUCGAUGCAAGCGCACAAUUGGCGAUGGCUUGGAAAACCUCAGAGUGACAGUUCUGUCCCACAAGUAGAUUAAGCUGGUCGGGGAAGAGGGUUUUCUGUCUCCGUAGAGCUGUAUAUUUAUAGACCCUAUGAGAAACAGGGAAGGAGGAGACAGAGAGACUGCAACUGGGAGCGACCGACGCAGCGACCGUCCUCGGAGGCAAGGCAGGAGAUCGAGGAGGGGGAGUUUUCAUGAAGGACGCCAUGGUUGUUCCCGACCCGUGUGACGACCUGUACGCUUGUCAGCCUCGAGGGCUUGCCGAGGGCAGAACCUCUUUGCCCACGCGUUUGUCUGGAGCGGGAGCAGUGGGCGAAUAAAAGUGGGGAAGGGCGCGGGACGGCGUGGGGCUGAGACAAGGCAGGAGCGGCGGGGACGUGGAGCGUCCACGGGCACGUGCAGGUAAACUGCGGGAAGAAGGCGCAGGUGUGUUCCCUGGCGGCAGCACACGAGCAGACGUAGGCAGGUGUUCCGUAAAGGUUUUACUUACUGACUUUGGCCUGUGGGAGAGGGGCUGCCGCGAGGCUGCAGGUGCCCCGGGCGGGGCAGAGUUGGGGCGGGGCGCUGGGGGGCGGUGCCCCCCGCCCCGUGGCGCAAAAGCGUCAGGCACUUCCUUCGAGCCGGAAUCGAACCAGCGACCUAAGGAUGCCCACACGUAUCCAGCCUACAGUCCUCCGCUCUACCAGCUGAGCUAUCGAAGGGUGCACGCUGACAGGCCCGGGUCAUUGCUUCUUCUUGAAAUGACGGAGGCCACCACACUGGCAAGCCGGAGGUCCGGCAUGCCUUGGCGUGGUUGGAAGGCUCUUUAGAAAAAAGAGCAGGGCCGACGCCGCCCCAGCGCCCCUUUCCGGGCAGAGGGAGCAUAUCCCCUGCGUUUGGCGGCUGCCCGGCCGGUGGCCCCAGCCUCCCGGGUCGCGAUUGUCAAGAUGCCUGGGCCGGGGCUCUCGCCUGUUGCGUUUCCCCUCCCGGCGCUCCUUUCUACAGGUGGGGACUACAGCGGUCCGUGGCGGCAGUGGCGAGGAGGGGCGUCGGUGAAGCUGGCGUGUUGGUUGUGCGGGGGUGGCCUCGCGGAGGAGCAGAGGAGAACCCACUGGGAUGGGCACUAGAGUGUUACAAUGAUCUGCGCAGAGCGGAGUGGUCUCUGGAGAUGCCUGAUGAUCUGUUCUGAGGAGCAGCCAGCAGCAUGAUGGACCCGGCCAGGGACCACUUACACCUGAGACGGACUAGAGAAAAGCACUCCCAGAGAUGGAAGUCCAAGUCAAGAGCGUCACCUGUACCCAAGGAGACGGUGGCGGCAGCAGCAAGUACCUGUGGUCGAUUUCCAGGCGGAACUGAGACAGGUAUUCUCAGCCGGGAUGCCAAGAAGUGGUUAAAGUGGUAUUGGAACAUCUAGGUAGCUGAUUUCCAAGUGAAGUAAAAGUAUUAUCCGUGGGGGGCGGGGGUGGUGAUGGUGUGGGACCUCUUACAAUGAUCUACAAGACCCUCAUGAUCUUAUCUCCAACCUAGUCACCUCUCUGACCUAAUUUUGUACAACUCUUCAGUUUUGCGCUGGACGCAGGGCCUCCUUGCUAUUCUCCACACACAGUCCUACCUGGGCCUUUGCGCUAGCCGACCUUUGUGCCGGGGAUGCUUCCUCCCCCGCCCCCUCCGUGAUUGACACCCUCACCUCCUUCAAGUCUUUGCUUGAAGCAUAGCACCUUCUCGUGUAUAACCUCUUCUGAGCACCCACUAACAGCUAACACACUAAUUAAUUUACGUAUUGUGUCCAUUGUUGAUUUUCUCCCACUCCCUCUGCCCCUUCUACAAAAAAAACAUGAACGCCAAGAGGCCUUUUUGUUACCAGUUCCUCAAAGUGUCUGGCACAACAACAAACAGUUGUUGAACGGGCAAACAAUGUCGUCAAAGAGAACAGAAUAUAAAAGGAGGGUCCAGGAGCCAGGGUUCAGCCAGGGGGAAGUGCCGGGUUAUCUUGUUUCAUCACCAGAGACUUUCUUAGGCUGAGAGCUGCAGAACUCUGAACACAUAAGGACUGUUCCUGCACUGAGACUGUUUCCUGCACUGAGACUUGACCAGACUCUAGCAUAGCUUCUGGCAGCACAAGGUUCUGUCCCUAAGUUUGACUUCCAGCCUGAGGAAGUUAAACACCUGACACAGGCCCCCAACCUGUGUUGUAAAUAGGGCAUUUAUUAAAAAGGGCUUGCGAUUGCGAAUGUGGAUCUCUUACAACUCUGAAGGGUCCCUCCCAUCUCAAGGACUUUGAAAUGUGAUGGGGAAGGAAGUAGGGCCUAUCUCCCAGUCUGUGGGAGGAGAGCAUCCUCAGUUCAGUAACUGCCAGCUAACAAACACAACCGCCUCACAGCAGUUACACCGAACUACCCUUUGUAACCUUUCACUUCUCUGACUGGACUGAGCCCGCUUCCUCUCAUUCUUCCGGGAAAACGCCCAAAUCACCUCCGCACAAAUCGGAUUGGAGCUCAGCUCUUUCCCCUACUGUCAGUAGUCACUGAAUGACAUCUUUUUUCACCACUUUACUUACUGUCUGCUGCGUUUACCUUUGACGGAGUCCAAGUCAGAAAGGACCAGAGGGCACUUGGUGGGGCCACCCUGUGUGCGUGGUGGGGUGGUAGAGGGGGAAAGGGCUGAAGGGCACCUGACCCUGGCUGCCCGGGGUUUCGGGCGACACGACUGGCUGCGGUUGAAGGGCACUGUUUAGCGUUUUACUUAGUUUUUCGUUCUUCAACACUUAGAAUCCUGGUUUUUCUUCUAGCGUUACUAGGUCAGGCUACUGCAGGUUACUGAAGCCCUUUUAUUCAGAAAGUCGCCAUGGCUAAACAUUGCCACGACUUCUUACUAGGGCAGCUGAGCACUUAACGUCAAGCGGCAGAAAGACCUUUCCUGAGUUUUCGAUUAUAUUUGAAAAUGAGUUUCAAACAAGCGAGGACAAAAAUGGGCCGAAAGUUUCUUUUUGUUGAAAGGCAGGUUGACACCACAUCCGAGCCCGGACCCGCCACCACUCCCGCUGGGCGCCGGGCGACCCCCGCCUUCUCGAGUCUCGCUGCUAGGUCCCGGACCCCUCGCCUCGUGCCCACCUGCGCCCGCUCCCCCCCCCCCCCCCCCCCCGGCAUCGGCGGGUCUGCCCGGCCACUAGCACAUCCGUUGUCCCAGAGCCGGAGACCGGAUGCGGGGGACGUCAUGGCAAGGCGUGGCGUAUGUAGAUGAGCAUGCGCGCAUUGGCUGCCGGUCCCGGACAGCCUGGGCGCGCACGUCCCGCGUGGGCGCACGGCAAAGGCGCCCGCGGUUGUUUUGCCGACGAGCGAGGUUGAGGCGGGGGGCGUGCAGGGAGCGCGGGGUGCGGAGGCGGCGUGGGGGAAGUGACCGUGUGUGUGAAGUGCGGCGAGCGCGAGGGUGUGGGUCGAGGCGGGGCGAGCAACUCAUACUUACCUGGCAGGGGAGAUACCAUGAUCAAGAAGGUGGUUUUCCCAGGGCGAGGCUUAUCCAUUGCACUCCGGAUGUGCUGACCCCUGCGAUUUCCCCAAAUGUGGGAAACUCGACUGCAUAAUUUGUGGUAGUGGGGGACUGCGUUCGCGCUUUCCCCUGG
Felis catus (domestic cat) is the source of this 5181-nucleotide long non-coding RNA. RefSeq lists it as uncharacterized. The transcript has 2 exons. The record is from RefSeq and is a predicted model, not a curated record. Lineage: Eukaryota; Metazoa; Chordata; Mammalia; Carnivora; Felidae.